Molecule: ribosomal RNA, 253 nt
Filed under: uncultured bacterium
Lineage: Bacteria
Description: partial 16S ribosomal RNA
Rfam family: Bacterial small subunit ribosomal RNA
Source: RNAcentral
UACGAGUGGUGCAAGCGUUAUUCGGAAUCAUUGGGCGUAAAGGGUGUGUAGACGGCAUUUUAAGUCAACUGUUUAAUUCUCCAGCCUAACUGGAGGUCAGCGGUAGAAACUGAUGUGCUAGAGGGUGGAAGAGAGAAGUGGAAUUCUCGGAGUAGCGGUAAAAUGCGUAGAUCUCGAGAGGAACACCAAUGGCGAAGGCAGCUUCUUGGUCCACUCCUGACGUUGAAACACGAAAGCGUGGGGAGCAAACAGG